This 472-nucleotide ribosomal RNA is filed under the name uncultured bacterium. Its description in RNAcentral is "bacterial SSU rRNA". It matches the Rfam family "Bacterial small subunit ribosomal RNA", at positions 27 to 518 of the family's 1533-position model. The record is from RNAcentral.
GGACGAACGCUGGCGGUGUGCCUCAUACAUGCAAGUCGAACGAGAAAUUACUUUCGGGUAAUGGAAAGUGGCGGACGGGUGAGUAAUAUGUAGGAAAUCUGCCCUAGAGAGGGGGACAACAGAGGGAAACUUCUGCUAAUACCCCAUAUGAGCUUAGUUGAAAUACUAAUCUUGAAAACUCCGGUGCUCUAGGAUGAGCCUGCAUCUGAUUAGCUAGUUGGUGGUGUAAUGGACCACAAAGGCGACGAUCAGUAGCUGGUUUGAGAGGAUGAUCAGCCACAAUGGGACUGAGACACGGCCCAUACUCCUACGGGAGGCAGCAGUAGGGAAUUUUGCGCAAUGGGGGAAACCCUGAACCGCAGCAACACCGCGUGAAUGUUAAGCCCUUCGGGGUAUAAAGUUCUGUCAAUGGGGAAGAAUAAAUGACUGUACCCAUAAAGGAAGCACCGGCUAACUCCGUGCCAGCAGCUGC